GAAAAAGACAUACCCCACCCGCAGCCCAAACCCUAGCUCAGAUCCCCCAUCGCACCCCUCCUCCCUCGUCCCCAUCUCCUCGCCGCCGCCACCCACUCCUCGUCGCCAGCCUACGGCGCCCGAUGCCGCCCGAUUCCUCCACCCUCCGACGGCGCCUGAUGCCUUCUCCUCCGCUCCAUCCUCCACUUGGACUAGAUCUGGCGCGCACGUCCCACACAUCGACCGUGCCCUCCCACCCACACAUCGCCACCACCACCCACCGUCCCGUCUGACCUUGCCGCCUCCACCCAUGCCGCAUCUGACCUCGUCUCCGGCCGCCGCUC
This 323-nucleotide ribosomal RNA is filed under the name Triticum aestivum (bread wheat). RNAcentral describes it as "partial small subunit ribosomal RNA". The record is from RNAcentral. Lineage: Eukaryota; Viridiplantae; Streptophyta; Magnoliopsida; Poales; Poaceae.